RNAcentral lists this ribosomal RNA (253 nucleotides) under uncultured bacterium. RNAcentral describes it as "partial 16S ribosomal RNA". It matches the Rfam family "Bacterial small subunit ribosomal RNA", at positions 524 to 776 of the family's 1533-position model. The record is from RNAcentral.
GACGAAGGAUGCAAGCGUUAUCCGGAUUCAUUGGGUUUAAAGGGAGCGUAGGCGGUCUUGUAAGUCAGUGGUGAAAGCCUGUUGCUUAACAACAGAACUGCCAUUGAUACUGCAGGACUUGAGUACAGAUGCUGUGGGCGGAAUAUGACAUGUAGUGGUGAAAUACUUAGAGAUGUCAUAGAACACCGAUUGCGAAGGCAGCUCACAAAACUGUAACUGACGCUGAGGCUCGAAAGUGCGGGGAUCAAACAGG